Molecule: long non-coding RNA, 319 nt
Organism: Passer domesticus (house sparrow)
Lineage: Eukaryota; Metazoa; Chordata; Aves; Passeriformes; Passeridae
Exons: 3
Source: RefSeq, a predicted model, not a curated record
GGUAGCUCUCAGGUCUCACCUGCAUGAAAGCUCCGCUGCCCCGCAGGUGGCAGUAGUGCUCUGGCAGAAAGGACCCCCGACCCAAACUCCUGGGAGUACUCCUUGGUUUUAACUUGGCAGUAAAAGUUGCUGGGCGGCAUUUUAGGCAAAGAGUCUUUUUCAAAAGAAAACUACACAAGGAGAACUACAAAAGCUAAAGCCUGACUUCAAGGUUGUCAUGACUAUCAGAAAAGCUGGUUGAAAUGAGUUCAUUUUAAGGUGGAGUUUCUGAAUGUGCAUUCUGUAAUGCUGACUCAGAAGCCAAGCAUAAUUUACAUAG